RNAcentral lists this long non-coding RNA (283 nucleotides) under Salmo salar (Atlantic salmon). Its description in RNAcentral is "lncRNA (ENSSSAG00000085328.1, ENSSSAG00000086792.1)". Lineage: Eukaryota; Metazoa; Chordata; Actinopteri; Salmoniformes; Salmonidae. The record is from RNAcentral.
CUUGUUCCAGUAAAUGGGAAGAGGGGAGGUGGUAGGUGUCAUGGUAGGUGUCAGUAAGAGCUGGGAGAAGUGACAUUAAUUGGACAGAGAGAAGAGAGAAAGUGAGAGGGACGGAUUGUCCAGACUGUUUUCACAGUUGCUUUGAACACCUGACAGAAAGAGAAGAAAACAGUUAUGAGCUGAACAUAACAGUAUGCCAGUGGAAAGGAGGACAGUAGCAGGUGACCCUAUGAGCUGAACAUAACAGUAUGCCAGUGGAAAGGAGGACAGUAGCAUGUGACCC